This 161-nucleotide ribosomal RNA is filed under the name uncultured bacterium. Its description in RNAcentral is "partial 16S ribosomal RNA". The record is from RNAcentral.
CACGGAGUUAGCCGGUGCUUCCUCUGAAGGUACCGUCAGCCUCGAGCACUAUUCGCACUCCAGGUCUUCGUCCCCUCUGACAGCGGUUUACACUCCGAAAAGCGUCGUCCCGCACGCGGCGUCGCUGGGUCAGCCUUCCGGCCAUUGCCCAAUAUUCCCCA